This 1491-nucleotide ribosomal RNA is filed under the name uncultured Pseudomonadota bacterium. RNAcentral describes it as "bacterial SSU rRNA". It matches the Rfam family "Bacterial small subunit ribosomal RNA". Lineage: Bacteria; Pseudomonadati; Pseudomonadota. The record is from RNAcentral.
UAGAGUUUGAUCCUGGCUCAGAAUGAACGCUGGCGGCGUGCUUAACACAUGCAAGUCGAACGAGAAAGUUCUCUUCGGAGGAUGAGUAGAGUGGCGCACGGGUGAGUAACACGUGGAUAAUCUGUCUUCGGGAACGGGAUAACCAAUCGAAAGGCUGGCUAAUACCGUAUGAAGUUUUCGGCUAUAGGGUUGAAAAUGAAGAGGUGCCUCUGAUGUAUGCAUCUGCUUGAAGGUGAGUCCGCGUACCAUUAGCUAGCUGGUGGGGUAAGAGCCUACCAGGGCGACGAUGGUUAGCUGGUCUGAGAGGAUGAUCAGCCACACUGGAACUGAAACACGGUCCAGACUCCUACGGGAGGCAGCAGUGAGGGAUUUUGCGCAAUGGGGGAGACCCUGACGCAGCAAUGCCGCGUGAGUGAAGAAGGCCCUUGGGUCGUAAAGCUCUGUCAACAGGGAAGAAGUUAUCAUGCAUGAAUAAUGUAUGGUAUUGACGGUACCUGUGGAGGAAGCACCGGCUAACUCCGUGCCAGCAGCCGCGGUAACACGGGGGGUGCAAGCGUUAUUCGGAAUUAUUGGGCGUAAAGUGCGCGCAGGCGGUCUUGCCGGUCAGGUGUGAAAGCCCGGGGCUCAACCCCGGAAGAGCAUUUGAAACAGCAAGACUUGAGUACAGGAGAGGAAAGCGGAAUUCCUGGUGUAGAGGUGAAAUUCGUAGAUAUCAGGAGGAACACUCAUGGCGAAGGCAGCUUUCUGGACUGAUACUGACGCUGAGGCGCGAAGGUGUGGGUAGCGAACAGGAUUAGAUACCCUGGUAGUCCACGCCGUAAACGAUGGAUACUCGGUAUUGGCACAUCGACCGUGUCAGUGCCCAAGCUAACGCAUUAAGUAUCCCGCCUGGGGAGUACGGUCGCAAGAUUAAAACUCAAAGGAAUAGACGGGGACCCACACAAGCGGUGGAGCAUGUGGUUUAAUUCGAUAAUAAGCGAGGAACCUUACCCAGACUUGACAUCUCGGGAAUUCUGAAGAAAUUCGGAAGUGCCGUAAGGAACCCGAUGACAGGUGCUGCAUGGUUGUCGUCAGCUCGUGCCUUGAGGUGUUCGGUUAAGUCCGUAAACGAGCGCAACCCUUGUCAUUAGUUGCAUUUUUCUAAUGAGACUGCCCUGACUUAGUUAGGGAGGAAGGUAGGGAUGACGUCAAAUCAGCAUGGCCCUUAUGUCUGGGGCGACACACGUGCUACAAUGGCCGGUACAAUGGGCAGCCAAGGAGUAAUCCGGAGCCAAUCCCACAAAACCGGUCUCAGUUCGGAUUGAGGGCUGAAACUCGCCCUCAUGAAGUUGGAAUCGCUAGUAAACGCGUAUCAGCCAUGACGCGUUGAAUAUGUUCCUGGGUCUUGUACUCACCGCCCGUCACAUCACGAAAGAUGGGAGUGCCCGAAGGUCCCUGCUCAGCAGGGGACUAAGGCAAAACCAUUGAUUGGGAUGAAGUCGUAACAAGGUA